CCCGCCCGGCCCCGCGCCUGGCCCCGGCCCUCCGAGCGGUGUCCUCCUCCUUCCCUUCUUUCCUCCCUCCCGGUUCUCCGCCCCGCUUCUCCUCCUCUUCCUCCGCCUCCCGCUCCUGCUCGCUCGGUCUCCGGCUCCGGCGCCGGCUCCUGCUCCUCCCGGCCGCCCGGGGCCAAGGCGACGAGAGGUUGUAAAAAUCCAUGUGGGACGGCCCCGGGGCGAGCAUCCGAAAGAUCUUUGAGUGGAGUUAUUUUCUGGUACGGACUGUGAAAAGAAUGUGGUGAAAAUUCUGGACAAUCGUGGAAAUAUUAGCUCAAACCCCAACUUAGUAUAGCAUUUCUUCUCUUCAGUAACACCUCAUAAUACAAGAAAAAUGUAUGGAAGUGCAAGAACAAUCACCAAUCUGGAAGGUAGCCCUUCCAGAUCCCCUCGUUUGCCAAGGUCUCCUCGUUUGGGCCACCGAAGAACAAGUAGUGGGGGAGGUGGAGGAACAGGCAAGACUCUGUCUAUGGAGAAUAUCCAGUCCCUCAAUGCAGCCUAUGCUACGUCUGGACCCAUGUAUCUGAGUGAUCAUGAAGGGGUGGCUUCAACAACUUACCCAAAGGGCACUAUGACUCUGGGAAGGGCUACGAAUCGAGCUGUAUAUGGAGGCCGUGUCACAGCCAUGGGGAGUAGUCCCAAUAUUGCUUCUGCUGGACUUUCCCACACAGAUGUCCUUUCAUACACAGAUCAACAUGGUGGGCUGACUGGCUCAUCCCAUCAUCACCACCACCAGGUCCCCUCCAUGUUGAGGCAGGUAAGAGACAGCACAAUGUUAGAUCUUCAGGCCCAGCUGAAAGAACUGCAGAGAGAGAAUGACCUCCUCCGGAAAGAGCUCGACAUCAAGGACAGCAAGUUGGGAUCUUCCAUGAACAGUAUUAAGACUUUCUGGAGUCCUGAGCUGAAGAAGGAGAGAGUGUUGAGGAAAGAAGAGGCAGCGCGGAUGUCUGUCCUCAAGGAGCAGAUGAGGGUUUCCCAUGAAGAAAAUCAGUUACUGGAUGCCAGAAGAACCAAGCACCUACAGUUGACAAUCCAAGCCCUUCAAGAUGAGCUGCGAACCCAGAGAGACCUCAACCACCUCCUCCAGCAAGAGAGUGGCAACCGAGGAGCGGAGCACUUCACCAUCGAGCUGACCGAGGAGAACUUCAGGCGGCUCCAGGCCGAGCAUGACAGGCAGGCCAAGGAGCUGUUCCUUUUGAGGAAGACAUUAGAGGAAAUGGAGCUGAGAAUUGAAACGCAGAAACAAACCCUCAAUGCCCGAGAUGAGUCGAUUAAAAAACUUCUUGAGAUGUUACAAAGUAAAGGCUUGCCGUCCAAAAGCCUAGAGGAUGACAAUGAGCGAACGCGACGGAUGGCAGAGGCUGAGUCUCAGGUCAGCCACUUGGAAGUGAUUUUAGACCAGAAAGAGAAGGAAAACAUACAUCUUAGAGAGGAAUUGCACCGAAGAAGCCAGCUUCAGCCGGAGCCAGCCAAGACGAAGGCUCUCCAGACUGUCAUCGAAAUGAAGGAAGCUUCAACUUUUAAUUUUGAUCCUGAUUUGGUCUGGCAGGACACAAAAAUCGCUUCAUUGGAGCGAAACAUAAGGGAUCUUGAGGAUGAGAUCCAGAUGUUAAAAGCCAAUGGUGUGCUGAACACUGAGGACCGCGAAGAAGAGAUCAAACAAAUUGAGGUUUACAAAAGUCACUCCAAGUUUAUGAAGACCAAGAUUGAUCAGCUGAAGCAGGAACUUUCAAAGAAAGAGUCAGAACUUCUUGCCUUACAAACAAAGCUUGAAACCCUUAGCAAUCAAAAUUCAGAUUGCAAGCAACACAUUGAAGUGCUCAAAGAGUCGCUUACUGCCAAAGAACAGAGGGCUGCCAUCCUUCAGACUGAGGUAGAUGCGCUGAGAUUACGACUGGAAGAAAAAGAAUCUUUCCUCAAUAAAAAAACGAAACAGCUGCAGGACCUCACAGAAGAGAAGGGGACACUGGCCGGUGAGAUUCGUGACAUGAAAGAUAUGUUAGAGGUGAAGGAAAGAAAAAUCAAUGUUCUUCAGAAAAAGAUUGAAAACUUGCAAGAACAACUUAGGGAUAAAGACAAGCAACUGACCAACCUGAAAGACAGAGUGAAGUCCUUGCAGACGGAUUCCAGUAAUACAGAUACUGCACUGGCGACGCUAGAGGAAGCUCUGUCAGAGAAGGAGAGAAUAAUUGAGCGCUUGAAAGAACAGCGAGAAAGAGAUGAUCGGGAAAGACUAGAAGAGAUAGAAUCCUUCCGAAAAGAGAACAAAGACCUGAAAGAGAAGGUCAAUGCUUUACAGGCUGAACUCACUGAGAAAGAGUCUAGUUUAAUUGACCUCAAAGAACAUGCAUCUUCAUUAGCCUCUGCAGGACUGAAAAGGGAUUCCAAAUUAAAGUCUCUAGAAAUAGCCAUCGAACAAAAGAAAGAGGAAUGUAGCAAAUUGGAAGCACAGUUAAAAAAGCAAGCUGAGCAGUUGUUCAAUCAGAUGUACAACCCAGCACAUAAUAUUGAAGAUGACUCCAGGAUGAACCCUGAGUUUGCAGACCGAAUAAAACAGCUAGAUAAAGAGGCGUCUUACUACCGCGACGAGUGUGGCAAGGCCCAAGCAGAAGUGGACCGGUUGCUGGAGAUCCUCAAGGAGGUGGAGAAUGAGAAGAAUGACAAGGACAAGAAGAUCGCAGAACUGGAGAGCUUGACUCUCAGGCAUAUGAAAGAUCAGAAUAAGAAGGUGGCCAACCUCAAGCACAAUCAACAGUUGGAAAAGAAGAAAAAUGCUCAGCUACUAGAAGAAGUCCGCAGGCGAGAAGAUAGCAUGGUUGACAACUCACAGCAUUUGCAGAUAGAGGAACUGAUGAAUGCACUGGAGAAGACCAGACAGGAACUGGAUGCCACCAAAGCACGCCUCGCCUCCACACAGCAGUCCCUGGCCGAAAAAGAAGCGCACUUGGCCAACCUCCGGAUUGAGAGGAGGAAACAGCUGGAGGAGAUCCUGGAGAUGAAACAGGAAGCGCUACUUGCAGCCAUCAGUGAAAAAGAUGCAAACAUUGCCUUGCUGGAAUUGUCUGCCUCCAAAAAGAAAAAGACGCAGGAAGAAGUCAUGGCCCUCAAGCGAGAAAAAGACCGACUAGUACAUCAAUUAAAGCAGCAGGUGGGGCCUUCUGCAAGACAGACCCAGAACAGAAUGAAGUUGAUGGCAGACAACUAUGAUGAGGACCAUCACCAUUACCAUCAUCACCACCAUCACCACCACCAUCGAUCUCCUGGGAGGUCGCAACAUUCCAAUCACAGGCCCUCUCCGGACCAGAUGAUCCAGCUCUGUCGGAGGCACGUAGGCACAGCCAAAUCUCAUGCUGUACAUUGAUCACCUGUCCAACCUUUGCCUAGAGUGGGAGCCCCCAGUUCCUUCGAGAUCCAACAUUACCUGUCUGUAAAGAAGAAGAGGAGGAGGGAGACAGCGGGGAGGAUCCGGUGGCAGUUUAACACCAGAGCAGGUCCAAUGUUUACUUUUACCCUUUUGGAGCUAUCAGAAGGGCUGAAUAAAGGAAACAUGCAGCUCUGCAGCAAUAUUCUGAUAAUCUAUUGCAGUGAGGCUCACAUCACUGGCCACCACCACCUGGAGCGGCUCAUCAGAACUGAAGGGGAGUUUUCACCUACAUUAUUGAGCGUGAUUCUGUUCUACUUGAUAUUUCCUUCAUCACCUCAUGUCAUUUCUCAUGGAUUUGGAUAUGAUGGAAAGGAAGAAUGCAGAGGAGGAGAAAAGUGACAGCUCCUCCAUUUUUGUCGGGAUGCGGGCAUUUUGAAUGUGAUCAUCUUUGCUGAAUGUCAUUAUUUGAUAACAUUUUGUUUAUGUUACUUAAACAUCAUUGGAUAAAUUUGAACUCCAUGGGAUUUUAACUAUGGAUUUAGCUUCUGUUGGACAACUAGCCUCAUCUCCAGUAUCCUGCUGGUUCAGUCUAAUCGGGCAUUCCUAAUGCAUUAGAUUAUCAAAAAGUGUAAAUUCGCUGUGAGUGAGUGGUGUUGGCAGUGCUUGUAUACCAUGAUGCAUGGAGUGUUUGACAAAGAAACAAAAACACCAAAAAUUGCGAGCCUUUACCCUCCUCUAUUUCUUUAAUCUGUUGUUUGAAGAACCGCAUUUUGAGGGUGUAACCAGUAGUUACCUCUGGGCCAGGUUGGAAAUGAAAUCAAUUUUUUAAACCACUAAUACUUGCCAAGAAAUCGCCUUACGAGAACAUGGUGUGUGUCUCUGACAAUGCAUGGCACAUCUAAAUUGAUCAUUCAUAAUUUUAUCCAGUACCCCGUCAUGUACUGGAGAGUGGCAAAAGCCUGAGGCACCUGCAUCUCUCUAGUCCCUGUGUUCUGCACAUCCCCACGGCGGGGACGCCACCAAGCCUCAGACUCUUUCCAUCCCGGUACAUGCAGGUCUCCAUGAAGAAGCUGGGACUCAUUCACAUUUCAAGAUCCAAAUGCUGUGCAAACAGUGUAAGCUUAGAUUUUCUGUAAAUGAAGGGUCAUUUCUCUUUUUUUUUUUCCUUUUAAAGAAAAUGUGUCUGCAACAUGGAUUCCAAAGCAUUUCAGCAUCAAACAUGAAAACAUUGAUGAAUGAGGAACAAUCACAAAAGCUGUGUCUCUGUAUAUAGCUCUACACAACAUGUAUGUGGAUACAGUCAUUAUUUAAAGCACAUGCCAGGGAAAAAGACCAAAUUUUGAGGUCUUUUACAUACAGUGAUAUGGUACUAAGGAGAAUUAAACUCCUGUUGCUUCCUCUGAAUAUUAAGAAAAAAUUAAAAUUGUUAUAACUUCAUAAAACUCAUGACUGAGUCUGGCAAACAUGUGCAACUCUUGUAUUGCUCCAUUUUCUUGUCAAUGGAAGAAACCCUUCCACGUGUAUGCAAGUGGGAGAUGAAAACCUGCAUUUUUAAAGGACAAACAGUGAAUUUAAGCAUGAGUGGCCUUAAUAAAUAUAGUUGUCUUUCUUUGCUGCUGUGGAAAGGAUUCUAAACAGAUGUCCCUGAAGUCUUGCAUUGAAUUUAGUCAUUAUUAUUACUUUUUUAAAUGUUGGUGCAAUUAACUCUGGACCUCUCUUGUGAGCCAUAGAGAUAUUUAAAAGACAAACACCUUAUUUGUCGGGGAAGAUGAAACUGUCCCUGAGUUGCACCAUUCUUUCUUGGUGCAUUCACGGUUAAGAUACUCAAGCAGGUUUCUUGCUUCAGGCUUUGUUCUUGUCAUCAGUAAGUAUAACCAACUAUGUAAUGCUUACAUGUUGCAUAAACAAUCCAAAUGCAUUCAUGUUUUAAAAGUUUGUCCUUUAACUAUCAGAGGGAUCUAGGUCUUGGUUAGAGAUGUAAGCAGAGUUCUUUGCAAGCUUAUUUAGCACAUUUUGACACAAUGUUGCACUGAAAACCCAGGCCACAAAUGCGUCCCAGUGAACAGUUUGAAUGUCCUCAAAAAGUGGUCCUCACUGCCUCCUACAACCAGGUCUUGACCUGAACUCUGCAACUGAAUACUUGAAGUAGGAAGUAGGAAAUCCAGUAGGGAAAAUGGGUCCUUGGAACAGAAAAAAAACCAACCAACCCAUAUAUAGCUAGCUAUUUCUAUGUAUGUGCCAAUUUUGUCACAGCUCUUGUUUGGAGGGAUCAUUUUCAGCCCAACUUUCGUUGGUUAAAAGUAAUAUUGAUCUUACCUUUAUGGGGGCACAUCAUUUAGUCCCUUAAAAUUUAAAUUCUCUCUAACAUAACAACCUUUCCCAUUUCAUGUAAUAAUCUCUGAUGUUUGGGGGGUUACCAAAAAUAUCCCUUUUUCACAUAUUAAGAAUAGUCUCUGGGUUUACAACAAACACUGUGAUGUUGGGAAGCUAUUUCCUUUGCGCGAACUUUAGCAGGUUUCCUUCUAAUCAUAACAUAGUUGAAAAAAGAUGUUUGGGCUAACAUUUAGGAGAAGUUGGUCUUUGUGCAAAAGCAGGCUUGUACUUGAUACCCCAUUUGAUUUCGAUGUUCAGUCUCAAUUUUGUAUUUAAUGAUUUUUGUGUAUCCAGUAUGCACGUUAGCAGCGUGUCAACUUUCAUUUGAAAGUGGGUUUCAAUUUACUUUUUAAACAGUGUUUAUGACGAGACCUCAAAUGUGUUGACAUAAGCUCUAUCUGCAAUGUUUUUGUGUAGAGUGGCGAUUGAAUGCUGCCGAGGGUCAGUGUAUCUAAUUCCCCGAGACCCUCGUUUGAUAGUGCUUCUUGUAAUAUUUCUUCAAGUGAGUGGCAUGUGGGUUGUGAUAUUGACCAUGUGAUUAUGGACAUCGAUAUGAAAAAUAAAUAAAUAAAACUAAGGAACCCUGGAAACUACCAGUGGGCAUGUAUUAGCCAGUCAUUGUAACCUCGUGUCUAGUAGAACAUUGUACAAGGUAUGUACAGUUCAUAAAUUUGUUAUCAUGUGUAUGAGAAGUACUUUGUGCUGAUCGCCUUAUUUAUAUUCAUCAAAUAAACCUCGUUUCUUUCUGAA
This is a non-coding RNA of Chlorocebus sabaeus (green monkey), 6526 nucleotides long. Lineage: Eukaryota; Metazoa; Chordata; Mammalia; Primates; Cercopithecidae. The record is from RefSeq and is a predicted model, not a curated record.